Molecule: ribosomal RNA, 254 nt
Filed under: Enterococcus faecalis
Lineage: Bacteria; Bacillati; Bacillota; Bacilli; Lactobacillales; Enterococcaceae
Description: partial 16S ribosomal RNA
Rfam family: Bacterial small subunit ribosomal RNA
Source: RNAcentral
AUGAGAGUUUGAUCCUGGCUCAGGACGAACGCUGGCGGCGUGCCUAAUACAUGCAAGUCGAACGCUUCUUUCCUCCCGAGUGCUUGCACUCAAUUGGAAAGAGGAGUGGCGGACGGGUGAGUAACACGUGGGUAACCUACCCAUCAGAGGGGGAUAACACUUGGAAACAGGUGCUAAUACCGCAUAACAGUUUAUGCCGCAUGGCAUAAGAGUGAAAGGCGCUUUCGGGUGUCGCUGAUGGAUGGACCCGCGGU